RNAcentral lists this ribosomal RNA (480 nucleotides) under uncultured bacterium. Its description in RNAcentral is "partial 16S ribosomal RNA". It matches the Rfam family "Bacterial small subunit ribosomal RNA", at positions 28 to 507 of the family's 1533-position model. The record is from RNAcentral.
GACGAACGCUGGCGGCGCGCUUAACACAUGCAAGUCGAGCGAUGAAACUUUAACAGAACCCUUCGGGGCGAAGAUAAAGGGGAUUAGCGCCGGACGGGUGAGUAACACGUGAGUAACCUGCCUUAGACAUUGGGAUAGCCUCGGGAAACCGGGAUUAAUACCAAAUAAAAUCAUAAUGACACAUGUCAUAACUAUCAAAACUCCGGUGGUCUACGAUGGACUCGCGUCCGAUUGGCUCGUUGGUAGGGUAAAAGCCUACCAAGGCGACGAUGGGUAGCCGGCAGGGGUGGCGGACAAGCCAGAAUGGAACUGAGGCACGGUCCACAAUCGGAGGGAGGGGAGGAGAAGGGAAUAUUGCAGAAGGAAGGGAGAUGUGACGACGCCGCGCGGGGGGAAAGAAGAAGGGGGUUGAGAAGUAAAGUCCUUUGAGAUGGGAAGAGAAUGACGGUACCAGAAGAAAAAGCCCCGGCUAACUACGUG